This 468-nucleotide ribosomal RNA is filed under the name uncultured bacterium. Its description in RNAcentral is "partial 16S ribosomal RNA". It matches the Rfam family "Bacterial small subunit ribosomal RNA", at positions 28 to 507 of the family's 1533-position model. The record is from RNAcentral.
GACGAACGCUGGCGGCGUGCUUAACACAUGCAAGUCGAACGGAGAGGACCUGCUCUUGCGGGGUGCUCGAGUGGCGAACGGGUGAGUAACACGUGAGUAACCUGUCCUUGACUUUGGGAUAACUUCAGGAAACUGGGGCUAAUACCGGAUAGGAGCUCCUGCUGCAUGGUGGGGGUUGGAAAGUUUCGGCGGUGGGGGAUGGACUCGCGGCUUAUCAGCUUGUUGGUGGGGUAGUGGCUUCCCAAGGUUUUGACGGGUAGCCGGCCUGAGAGGGUGACCGGCCACAUUGCGACUGAGAUACGCCCCAGACGCCUACGGGAGGCAGCAGUGGGGAAUAUUGCACAGUGGGCGGAAGCCUGAUGCGGCAACGCCGCGUGCGGGAUGACGGCCUUCGGGUUGUAAACCGCUUUCGCCUGUGACGAAGCGUGAGUGACGGUAAUGGGUAAGGAAGCACCGGCUAACUACGUG